GCCGGGGUAGCUCAGUCGGUAGAGCAGCUGAUUCGUAAUCAGCAGGUCGUCGGUUCAAGUCCGAUCCUCGGCUCCA
RNAcentral lists this transfer RNA (76 nucleotides) under Alphaproteobacteria bacterium. RNAcentral describes it as "tRNA-Thr". It matches the Rfam family "tRNA". From Rfam's summary of the family: Transfer RNA (tRNA) molecules are approximately 80 nucleotides in length. Their secondary structure includes four short double-helical elements and three loops (D, anti-codon, and T loops). Further hydrogen bonds mediate the characteristic L-shaped molecular structure. tRNAs have two regions of fundamental functional importance: the anti-codon, which is responsible for specific mRNA codon recognition, and the 3' end, to which the tRNAs corresponding amino acid is attached (by aminoacyl-tRNA synthetases). tRNAs cope with the degeneracy of the genetic code in two manners: having more than one tRNA (with a specific anti-codon) for a particular amino acid; and 'wobble' base-pairing, i.e. permitting non-standard base-pairing at the 3rd anti-codon position. Lineage: Bacteria; Pseudomonadati; Pseudomonadota; Alphaproteobacteria. RNAcentral also lists the same sequence under 1 other name. The record is from RNAcentral.